UCUGGCCUCAAAUCAGGUAGGACUACCCGCUGAACUUAAGCAUAUCAAUAAGCGAAAG
This 58-nucleotide ribosomal RNA is filed under the name Naganishia diffluens. RNAcentral's name for it is "partial 26S ribosomal RNA". Lineage: Eukaryota; Fungi; Basidiomycota; Tremellomycetes; Filobasidiales; Filobasidiaceae. The record is from RNAcentral.